UGGGGAAUAUUGCACAAUGGGCGCAAGCCUGAUGCAGCCAUGCCGCGUGUAUGAAGAAGGCCUUCGGGUUGUAAAGUACUUUCAGCGGGGAGGAAGGGAGUAAAGUUAAUACCUUUGCUCAUUGACGUUACCCGCAGAAGAAGCACCGGCUAACUCCGUGCCAGCAGCCGCGGUAAUACGGAGGGUGCAAGCGUUAAUCGGAAUUACUGGGCGUAAAGCGCACGCAGGCGGUUUGUUAAGUCAGAUGUGAAAUCCCCGGGCUCAACCUGGGAACUGCAUCUGAUACUGGCAGGCUUGAGUCUCGUAGAGGGGGGUAGAAUUCCAGGUGUAGCGAUGAAAUGCGUAGAGAUCUGGAGGAAUACCGGUGGCGAAGGCGGCCCCCUGGACAAAGACUGACGCUCAGGUGCGAAAGCGUGGGGAGCAAACAGG
Molecule: ribosomal RNA, 429 nt
Filed under: Chloroflexota bacterium
Lineage: Bacteria; Bacillati; Chloroflexota
Description: Chloroflexi bacterium partial 16S ribosomal RNA
Rfam family: Bacterial small subunit ribosomal RNA
Source: RNAcentral